This is a non-coding RNA of Sus scrofa (pig), 1307 nucleotides long. Lineage: Eukaryota; Metazoa; Chordata; Mammalia; Artiodactyla; Suidae. The record is from RefSeq and is a predicted model, not a curated record.
CCCACGUCCUCAUGGAUCCUAGUCUGUUGUUAACCACUGAGCCAGGAGGGGAACUCCUAAUACCAUCCUUUAAUUAGCACCCUGUCAAUUGCUUUCUAUUUAUGACAAGUCUAUUAGUCAGGUUCCUGGCAGGAAACAGGUGGCACUUUCAAUAUGGGUAAUCUGAGGAUUUAAUCAAGGGACUAUUUAUGCAGAUGUGGCCCCACAGAGGCAAACCACAGGGGCUUCGCAGUUCCCCCGGGGAAGUAACAGCAUGGGGCCCGGGUGGCGAGGGGAGAGGUGGUUUCUAGAACAGGUGAUGGGCAAUGGACCAGACCUGGGCCCCUGGGCUAAGGGACACAGUGAGUCUGCUGCCACCCUCCAGGUUAGGGGCUGGGUAAUGAAUAUGGCAACCACACUCUCUUUCUCCUCUUCCCAGGCUCCUAACAUGCUGCCUACUGGCCAGACCUAAAACGAAACAGGCUGUGGGAGCCCACUGAGGGGGGCUUCAGACCAUCCUCGGUGCGGAUGUGGAGGGGCGGAGGGUAGUUCCCGCGGACAAAGAGGACACAUCCGCUAUGGCUAGUGAUACUCUUUCACUUACUAGUAAUACAAGCUCUCCUUUAAAUUAAACAUACAAGCUCUCCUUUAAAUUAAACAUACUUAGGUUUUUAAGAAUAAGCUAAAAUAAAGCAAACAAGACAAUAGGUGCGAUAAGGAUAUGGCAGAGAUGGUGAAGGUGCUGGCCGAUGACUGCACCUGGAAGCCCUGCUCAGGCCGGCACACUACCCCUUUGUAUGUUCGGUGACGUCCUCUCCCUCCUGGCCUCUUCCUGGCUGUCUUUCCUCUGGACCUUUGAGAGUUGCUGAGAAAUAGCAGGGAAAUGGUAUUUUUCACUGGAAAGAGAGGCGAGGCCCUGGGAGGUCACUGGGUGAAGGGCUCUGAGAUUCCCCCUAAUGGAUCUUUGCUCUCCCAGGCUUUCCAUUACCCAGCUCCCUUGGCUGCCCUCCCGAGGAGCACAGGGCUCUCUUUCUGAUUCCUUGACCAGCUGAGCAGCUGAGGAAAGGUGGAUGCUGCCUGGCCUUGGGGCUGAAACCCUGGGUUGGAAACUGGAGAAGGACCUUAAGGUGUGGAAGGAUCCCUUGCCUGAAUUCAGUCCAGGAGCCACCUGGUCCUGGCUCACAGACAGCCACGGCCUGAGGGCUAAGUGAAGACUUCAGAGAGGUUCUCUCCAGCGAGGGGGACCAGAAAGCUGUGUGAUUCAGAGGAUGGCUCUGUCAUUUGCUGAGAAAACAGAUGAAGAUGUUCUUUGGAAUGGCCCAACGGAU